This 253-nucleotide ribosomal RNA is filed under the name uncultured bacterium. Its description in RNAcentral is "partial 16S ribosomal RNA". It matches the Rfam family "Bacterial small subunit ribosomal RNA", at positions 524 to 776 of the family's 1533-position model. The record is from RNAcentral.
UACGUAGGAUGCGAGCGUUGUCCGGAAUCAUUGGGCGUAAAGCGCACGUAGGCGGUUCGUUAUGUCGGAUGUGAAAGCCCUUGGCUUAACCGAGGAAGUGCAUCCGAAACUGGCGAGCUAGAGUACUAAAGAGGAUCGCGGAAUUCCCGGUGUAGAGGUGAAAUUCGUAGAUAUCGGGAGGAACACCGGUGGCGAAGGCGGCGAUCUGGGUAGAUACUGACGCUGAGGUGCGAAAGCGUGGGGAGCAAACAGG